Molecule: ribosomal RNA, 502 nt
Filed under: uncultured Natroniella sp.
Lineage: Bacteria; Bacillati; Bacillota; Clostridia; Halanaerobiales; Halobacteroidaceae
Description: bacterial SSU rRNA
Rfam family: Bacterial small subunit ribosomal RNA
Source: RNAcentral
UGGCGGCGUGCUUAACACAUGCAAGUCGAACGAGAAAGCUACCUUCGGGUAGUGAGUAAAGCGGCGGACGGGUGAGUAACACGUGGGGAAAAUACCUUUAAGACUGGGAUAACUUCUGUAAAGGGAAGCCUAAUACCGGAUAAUCUCCUUUCGGAGCAAAGAUGGCUUAUUAUGCUAUUGCUUAGAGAUGGGCCCGCGUCCCAUUAGCUAGUUUGGUGAGAUAAAAGCUCACGAAGGCAACAAUGGGUAGCCGACCUGAGAGGGUGAUCGGCCACACUGGGACUGAGACACGGCCCAGACUCCUACGGGAGGCUGCAGUGGGGAAUCUUCCACAAUGGACGAAAGUCUGACGGAGCAACGCCGCGUGAGUGAAGAAGGUCUUCGGAUCGUAAAGCUCUGUCUUUAGGGAAGAAUACUUUAAUUGUGAAUAACAGCCAGGGUUGACGGUACCUAUAAAGGAAGCCCUGGCUAACUACGUGCCAGCAGCCGCGGUAAUACGUAG